Molecule: transfer RNA, 72 nt
Filed under: Anaerolineaceae bacterium
Lineage: Bacteria; Bacillati; Chloroflexota; Anaerolineae; Anaerolineales; Anaerolineaceae
Description: tRNA-Arg
Rfam family: tRNA
About the family: Transfer RNA (tRNA) molecules are approximately 80 nucleotides in length. Their secondary structure includes four short double-helical elements and three loops (D, anti-codon, and T loops). Further hydrogen bonds mediate the characteristic L-shaped molecular structure. tRNAs have two regions of fundamental functional importance: the anti-codon, which is responsible for specific mRNA codon recognition, and the 3' end, to which the tRNAs corresponding amino acid is attached (by aminoacyl-tRNA synthetases). tRNAs cope with the degeneracy of the genetic code in two manners: having more than one tRNA (with a specific anti-codon) for a particular amino acid; and 'wobble' base-pairing, i.e. permitting non-standard base-pairing at the 3rd anti-codon position.
Source: RNAcentral
GCCCCCAUAGCUCAGUGGAUAGAGCGUUGCCCUCCGGAGGCAAAGGCCAUGGUUCGAGUCCAUGUGGGGGUG